AACGCUAGCUACAGGCUUAACACAUGCAAGUCGAGGGGCAGCAUGGUCUUAGCUUGCUAAGGCCGAUGGCGACCGGCGCACGGGUGAGUAACACGUAUCCAACCUGCCGUCUACUCUUGGACAGCCUUCUGAAAGGAAGAUUAAUACAAGAUGGCAUCAUGAGUCCGCAUGUUCACAUGAUUAAAGGUAUUUCAGUAGACGAUGGGGAUGCGUUCCAUUAGAUAGUAGGCGGGGUAACGGCCCACCUAGUCUUCGAUGGAUAGGGGUUCUGAGAGGAAGGUCCCCCACAUUGGAACUGAGACACGGUCCAAACUCCUACGGGAGGCAGCAGUGAGGAAUAUUGGUCAAUGGGCGAGAGCCUGAACCAGCCAAGUAGCGUGAAGGAUGACUGCCCUAUGGGUUGUAAACUUCUUUUAUAAAGGAAUAAAGUCGGGUAUGGAUACCCGUUUGCAUGUACUUUAUGAAUAAGGAUCGGCUAACUCCGUGCCAGCAGCCGCGGUAAUACGGAGGAUCCGAGCGUUAUCCGGAUUUAUUGGGUUUAAAGGGAGCGUAGAUGGAUGUUUAAGUCAGUUGUGAAAGUUUGCGGCUCAACCGUAAAAUUGCAGUUGAUACUGGAUAUCUUGAGUGCAGUUGAGGCAGGCGGAAUUCGUGGUGUAGCGGUGAAAUGCUUAGAUAUCACGAAGAACUCCGAUUG
RNAcentral lists this ribosomal RNA (694 nucleotides) under uncultured Bacteroidales bacterium. Its description in RNAcentral is "bacterial SSU rRNA". It matches the Rfam family "Bacterial small subunit ribosomal RNA", at positions 32 to 715 of the family's 1533-position model. Lineage: Bacteria; Pseudomonadati; Bacteroidota; Bacteroidia; Bacteroidales. The record is from RNAcentral.